CGGAUCGUAAAGCUCUGUUGUUGGUGAAGAAGGAUAGAGGUAGUAACUGGCCUUUAUUUGACGGUAAUCAACCAGAAAGUCACGGCUAACUACGUGCCAGCAGCCGCGGUAAUACGUAGGUCCCGAGCGUUGUCCGGAUUUAUUGGGCGUAAAGCGAGCGCAGGCGGUUUGAUAAGUCUGAAGUUAAAGGCUGUGGCUCAACCAUAGUUCGUCUUUAGGAAACUGUACAAACUUGAGUGCAGAAGGGGAGAGUGGAAUUCCAUGUGUAGCGGUGAAAUGCGUAGAUAUAUGGAGGAACACCGGUGGCGAAAGCGGCU
RNAcentral lists this ribosomal RNA (317 nucleotides) under uncultured bacterium. RNAcentral's name for it is "bacterial SSU rRNA". It matches the Rfam family "Bacterial small subunit ribosomal RNA", at positions 419 to 726 of the family's 1533-position model. The record is from RNAcentral.